Molecule: ribosomal RNA, 547 nt
Filed under: uncultured bacterium
Lineage: Bacteria
Description: bacterial SSU rRNA
Rfam family: Bacterial small subunit ribosomal RNA
Source: RNAcentral
UGGGGAAUAUUGCGCAAUGGGGGCAACCCUGACGCAGCCAUGCCGCGUGAAUGAAGAAGGCCUUCGGGUUGUAAAGUUCUUUCGGUAGCGAGGAAGGCAUUUAGUUUAAUAGACUAGGUGAUUGACGUUAACUACAGAAGAAGCACCGGCUAACUCCGUGCCUGCAGCCGCGGUAAUACGGAGGGUGCGAGCGUUAAUCGGAAUAACUGGGUGUAAAGGGCACGCAGGCGGUGACUUAAGUGAGGUGUGAAAGCCCCGGGCUUAACCUGGGAAUUGCAUUUCAUACUGGGUCGCUAGAGUACUUUAGGGAGGGGUAGAAUUCCACGUGUAGCGGUGAAAUGCGUAGAGAUGUGGAGGAAUACCGAAGGCGAAGGCAGCCCCUUGGGAAUGUACUGACGCUCAUGUGCGAAAGCGUGGGGAGCAAACAGGAUUAGAUACCCUGGUAGUCCACGCUGUAAACGAUGUCGAUUUGGGGGUUGAGCUUUAAGUUUGGCGCCCGUAGCUAACGUGAUAAAUCGACCGCCUGGGGAGUACGGCCGCAAGGUUA